GACGAACGCUGGCGGCGUGCUUAACACAUGCAAGUCGAACGGAAAGGCCCUGCUUUUGUGGGGUGCUCGAGUGGCGAACGGGUGAGUAACACGUGAGUAACCUGCCCUUGGCUUUGGGAUAACUUCAGGAAACUGGGGCUAAUACCGGAUAGGAGCUCCUGCUGCAUGGUGGGGGUUGGAAAGUUUCGGCGGUUGGGGAUGGACUCGCGGCUUAUCAGCUUGUUGGUGGGGUAGUGGCUUACCAAGGCUUUGACGGGUAGCCGGCCUGAGAGGGUGAACGGCCACAUUGGGACUGAGAUACGGACCAGACUCCUACGGGAGGCAGCAGUGGGGAAUAUUGCACAAUGGGCGGAAGCCUGAUGCAGCAACGCUGCGUGCGGGAUGCCGGCCUUCGGGUUGUAAACCGCUUUCGCCUGUGACGAAGCGUGAGUGACGGUAAUGGGUAAAGAAGCACCGGCUAACUACGUG
RNAcentral lists this ribosomal RNA (468 nucleotides) under uncultured bacterium. RNAcentral describes it as "partial 16S ribosomal RNA". It matches the Rfam family "Bacterial small subunit ribosomal RNA", at positions 28 to 507 of the family's 1533-position model. The record is from RNAcentral.